Molecule: ribosomal RNA, 498 nt
Filed under: uncultured bacterium
Lineage: Bacteria
Description: partial 16S ribosomal RNA
Rfam family: Bacterial small subunit ribosomal RNA
Source: RNAcentral
GUUGAACGCUGGCGGCAUGCCUUACACAUGCAAGUCGAACGGUAACAGGUCUUCGGAUGCUGACGAGUGGCGAACGGGUGAGUAAUACAUCGGAACGUGCCCGAUCGUGGGGGAUAACGGAGCGAAAGCUUUGCUAAUACCGCAUAAGAUCUACGGAUGAAAGCAGGGGACCGCAAGGCCUUGCGCGAACGGGGCGGCCGAUGGCAGAUUAGGUAGUUGGUGGGAUAAAAGCUUACCAAGCCGACGAUCUGUAGCUGGUCUGAGAGGACGACCAGCCACACUGGGACUGAGACACGGCCCAGACUCCUACGGGAGGCAGCAGUGGGGAAUUUUGGACAAUGGGCGCAAGCCUGAUCCAGCCAUGCCGCGUGCAGGAUGAAGGCCUUCGGGUUGUAAACUGCUUUUGUACGGAACGAAAAGACUCUGGUUAAUACCUGGGGUCCAUGACGGUACCGUAAGAAUAAGCACCGGCUAACUACGUGCCAGCCGCCGCCGUAA